CCCGCUGCCUCCCUGUUGCAGCUCCGUCUCAGGUCUAUUCUUGCAGAUUCUCAGCCCACAGAACACACGAGGAGAGGACAGUCGCUCUGAGCUACUACUGGAUCAAGGUUUUUUGCAAUUUGCUAGAAACAAGUGGAUCAGGAACUCAGAUGAGGACUCCUUAAAUCCCUCACUCUUCUAGUAUUUAUUUUUCUUUAUUCAAGUGGAUUUUCCCUUUUCAAGUGAAUAAGGAGAGGAAACUGCCUGGGAUACAGCAAAAAAAGAGUCUCCUGAGUGAAGGAUGUUUGUAUCCAGGGCAGCAAUGCCACUUCCUACUACAUGAGAAAAACCCUGAUGACUUUGUGGGACUGCCAUCUGCUCCGUUCCCAAAAUGACAGCAUCUGCCAGAACAUUCAGGUUUCCAGCCUGUGAUGCUCCAGUAGGUUAUUCAAACUACA
Long non-coding RNA from Pygoscelis adeliae (Adelie penguin), 437 nucleotides. RefSeq lists it as uncharacterized. NCBI's taxonomy places the organism in Eukaryota, Metazoa, Chordata, Aves, Sphenisciformes, Spheniscidae. The record is from RefSeq and is a predicted model, not a curated record. The transcript has 3 exons.